AUUGGAAAAGAAACUGAAUACUCUCAUGAAAUGAUGAAAAAAAAUGGAGCUUUAAUGUUUCAACUUCAAAGAAUGAGGAAACAAUGGAAAAGGGCAAACUUAACUAGAGUGCUGUACUUUGGUGAGAUCUCUGCAGAGAUUUGGAUGUGAUGGGUGGGAUGUGCCCCAGUACAACAUCAGUCUGUUACCCACUGAUGAAAGUGCUCUCCUGGCUGCUGGGAAUCUUCAAAGAGCAACAGAAUAUUGUUCUGCUGCACAAGUGCUCUGACCAUCGAGCACGUGAAUAACAAUUACCAUUACAAAAUAAAUGGGCUGAAGCAGAGGAAAAGUGUGAUUAGGAAGGAGGAGCAAACAGAAACCACCAUGCCUUGACUACAACCCCUUCUGAGCCACCCUUUGCCUCACUGAAGGGACAGACUGCAACUUGAGGUGGUAACAAGAAGGGUAUGGAGGUGUUUGGGAUGUAACGGAGCAGGGGAAGAGGGGU
Molecule: long non-coding RNA, 487 nt
Organism: Numida meleagris (helmeted guineafowl)
Lineage: Eukaryota; Metazoa; Chordata; Aves; Galliformes; Numididae
Exons: 3
Source: RefSeq, a predicted model, not a curated record